This 473-nucleotide ribosomal RNA is filed under the name uncultured bacterium. RNAcentral's name for it is "bacterial SSU rRNA". It matches the Rfam family "Bacterial small subunit ribosomal RNA", at positions 335 to 799 of the family's 1533-position model. The record is from RNAcentral.
ACUCCUACGGGAGGCAGCAGUGGGGAAUAUUGCACAAUGGGCGCAAGCCUGAUGCAGCCAUGCCGCGUGUAUGAAGAAGGCCUUCGGGUUGUAAAGCACUUUCAGCAGUGAGGAAGGCGGAGUCGUUAAUAGCGGCCUCGUUUGACGUUAGCUGCAGAAGAAGCACCGGCUAACUCCGUGCCAGCAGCCGCGGUAAUACGGAGGGUGCGAGCGUUAAUCGGAAUUACUGGGCGUAAAGCGCAUGCAGGUGGUUUGUUAAGUCAGAUGUGAAAGCCCGGGGCUCAACCUCGGAAUAGCAUUUGAAACUGGCAGACUAGAGUACUGUAGAGGGGGUAGAAUUUCAGGUGUAGCGGUGAAAUGCGUAGAGAUCUGAAGGAAUACCGGUGGACGAAGGCGGCCCCCUGGACAGAUACUGACACUCAGAUGCGAAAGCGUGGGGAGCAAACAGGAUUAGAUACCCUGGUAGGAUAGCG